This 253-nucleotide ribosomal RNA is filed under the name uncultured prokaryote. RNAcentral describes it as "partial 16S ribosomal RNA". It matches the Rfam family "Bacterial small subunit ribosomal RNA", at positions 525 to 777 of the family's 1533-position model. The record is from RNAcentral.
ACGUAGGUGGCAAGCGUUGUUCGGAAUUAUUGGGCGUAAAGGGCGCGUAGGCGGUUUGUUAAGUCGGCUGUGAAAGCCCGGGGCUCAACCCCGGAGGGUCAGCCGAUACUGGCAGACUAGAGUACGGAAGAGGUAGCUGGAAUUCCCGGUGUAGCGGUGAAAUGCGUAGAGGUGUGGAGGAACACCGAUGGCGAAGGCAGCCCCCUGGGUCAACACUGACGCUCAUGCACGAAAGCGUGGGGAGCAAACAGGA